This 401-nucleotide ribosomal RNA is filed under the name Rhodobaca sp. BW86-109. Its description in RNAcentral is "bacterial SSU rRNA". It matches the Rfam family "Bacterial small subunit ribosomal RNA", at positions 1 to 434 of the family's 1533-position model. The record is from RNAcentral. Lineage: Bacteria; Pseudomonadati; Pseudomonadota; Alphaproteobacteria; Rhodobacterales; Paracoccaceae.
UUUAGAGUUUGAUCAUGGCUCAGAACGAACGCUGGCGGCAGGCUUAACACAUGCAAGUCGAGCGAAGCUUUCGGGCUUAGCGGCGGACGGGUGAGUAACGCGUGGGAACGUGCCCUUUGGUACGGAAUAGUCCUGGGAAACUGGGUUUAAUACCGUAUAUUCUCUACGGAGGAAAGAUUUAUCGCCAAAGGAUCGGCCCGCGUUGGAUUAGGUAGUUGGUGGGGCAAUGGCCUACCAAGCCGACGAUCCAUAGCUGGUUUGAGAGGAUGAUCAGCCACACUGGGACUGAGACACGGCCCAGACUCCUACGGGAGGCAGCAGUGGGGAAUCGUAGACAAUGGGGGCAACCCUGAUCUAGCCAUGCCGCGUGAUCGAUGAAGGCCUUAGGGGAAUAAAGAUCU